GAGUUCCCACUUCAGCAGCACAUACACUAAAAUUAGAUUGAUACAAAGAAGAUAAGCAUGGCCAUGCACAAGGAUGAUAUGCAAACCUAUUAUUAUGGUGAAACUUGU
Molecule: small nuclear RNA, 108 nt
Organism: Talpa occidentalis (Iberian mole)
Lineage: Eukaryota; Metazoa; Chordata; Mammalia; Eulipotyphla; Talpidae
Source: RefSeq, a predicted model, not a curated record